GAUGAACGCUGGCGGCGUGCCUAACACAUGCAAGUCGAGCGAUGAAGCCCUUCGGGGUGGAUUAGCGGCGGACGGGUGAGUAACACGUGGGUAACCUGCCUUGUAGAGGGGGAUAGCCUUCCGAAAGGAAGAUUAAUACCGCAUAACAUCUUUUAUCGCAUGGUAGAAAGAUCAAAGGAGCAAUCCGCUACAAGAUGGACCCGCGGCGCAUUAGCUAGUUGGUGAGGUAACGGCUCACCAAGGCGACGAUGCGUAGCCGACCUGAGAGGGUGAUCGGCCACAUUGGGAACUGAGACACGGUCCAGACUCCUACGGGAGGCAGCAGUGGGGAAUAUUGCGCAAUGGGGGAAACCCUGACGCAGCAACGCCGCGUGAAUGAAGAGGUAUCUCGGUAUGUAAACUUCUAUCAGCAGGGAAGAUAGUGAC
This 426-nucleotide ribosomal RNA is filed under the name uncultured bacterium. Its description in RNAcentral is "bacterial SSU rRNA". It matches the Rfam family "Bacterial small subunit ribosomal RNA", at positions 28 to 455 of the family's 1533-position model. The record is from RNAcentral.